Long non-coding RNA from Tachysurus fulvidraco (yellow catfish), 1365 nucleotides. RefSeq lists it as uncharacterized. The record is from RefSeq and is a predicted model, not a curated record. Lineage: Eukaryota; Metazoa; Chordata; Actinopteri; Siluriformes; Bagridae. The transcript has 4 exons.
UGACGCUCGACAGCAGCGCCGCGCGUGCACAAAAACAGCGCUGCUCCUGAAUUUGACUCUUCUUAUUGAGUCAGUUCAUUUGGUUCAGCUCAGCAAUAAGAGUCGACUCUUUCCCAGUCGUCAGCAGGGGAAGAAGGUGGACUGGGAAACAGAACAUCACUUAGCCCUACUACUUAUCAUGCAAGGAUAUUGAUUUAGUGCCCUGAGCUCCUGUAAAUGGGUGAACAAGAAGCUUAAGGCACCCAACAUCUGAUAUCUUACUCAUGCCAAGGCCAGAGAACAUGUGAGAUGUAAUUGCUUCAAGAAACUGAAGAGAGGAAAGUAGACCAUUUUGGAAAAAUUCUGAAAAAUGAGAAAACUGGAGCAGAAAAUAAAGAAAAUGAAUUAAGAAGUAAUCAGAGUUGAAGGUUACUUAAGUUUUAACUGAGAUUUUCCUUUCCGCCAGCUGAACAAGAUGAUUAAAUUCACUUUCCCUCCACAAAGGAUAUGAAAAUCACAUGUGGACAUUAUCCUUAAAAGAGAAAGGUGAAGAGAAAGGUGGUGAAUUCAGUGGAGACAUCAACCACAGGAGACUAUCAAAGGUGCACAAGAAAGAGUAUACCCUGGAAAGGAUGCCAGUCUAUCACAGUGCACACACACACUCACACACACACACCCAUUCACACAAUAAUGACAAUUUAGGGUGGCCAAUGUGCCUACAGCAGGAGACACAGGGAGAACAUUGAAACUAUGAAAGAUCAAACUUUGAACAUCAAACGAUGAAAAGUUGUAAACUGCGAGAUUUCAUUCAUCAAUGAUAAAAACAGCUUUUAAUGUAUUCUAAGGAAGUUGUCACAUUAUUAGUGUAUUACAAUCACCCAAACACAAUUCCAUUUACCAAAUUUUAGAUAUCUCAUGGUGAUUUUUCUACUUUCACUCUAUAAAAUCAAUAUAUCAGAAGCUUUACACAAAAUGUCUUUCAGAAAUAACAAAAAUAACUUUUGGCACACCAUUCCAUACAUAAAAUACAUUUCCAAAUGAUCACCUACAUUAAACACCAUCACCAAUAACUAUUAGACAUAUAAGCAUAUAAAACAUUUAUUUUGCCCAAAUCAUACAAAAGGUUUAAUCUCUACUUUACAAAAUCCAAGAUUUGAAGUUUAAUAAAAUUUUCCACAAUUCCAUAGCCACUUUCAUUACCACUGAUUUGUUAGAAACAUGCUAUAGGUACCCCAGCACAACUUUUUACAUUUACUGAACAGGCUUUUAAUGAAAGCAAUAGUAAAUAAAGCUGCUGUCAAAUUUGUUAAAUUAUUCCAGCAUGUUGGUCCCCUGAUGAUGUCAAGCUGAGCAAAAGCUGUUUUUUUCUCAGCACCACACUGCAUA